AAAUUGAAGAGUUUGAUCAUGGCUCAGAUUGAACGCUGGCGGCAGGCCUAACACAUGCAAGUCGAACGGUAACAGGAAGCAGCUUGCUGCUUUGCUGACGAGUGGCGGACGGGUGAGUAAUGUCUGGGAAACUGCCUGAUGGAGGGGGAUAACUACUGGAAACGGUGGCUAAUACCGCAUAACGUCGCAAGACCAAAGAGGGGGACCUUCGGGCCUCUUGCCAUCAGAUGUGCCCAGAUGGGAUUAGCUUGUUGGUGAGGUAACGGCUCACCAAGGCGACGAUCCCUAGCUGGUCUGAGAGGAUGACCAGCCACACUGGAACUGAGACACGGUCCAGACUCCUACGGGAGGCAGCAGUGGGGAAUAUUGCACAAUGGGCGCAAGCCUGAUGCAGCCAUGCCGCGUGUAUGAAGAAGGCCUUCGGGUUGUAAAGUACUUUCAGCGGGGAGGAAGGUGUUGUGGUUAAUAACCACAGCAAUUGACGUUACCCGCAGAAGAAGCACCGGCUAACUCCGUGCCAGCAGCCGCGGUAAUACGGAGGGUGCAAGCGUUAAUCGGAAUUACUGGGCGUAAAGCGCACGCAGGCGGUCUGUCAAGUCGGAUGUGAAAUCCCCGGGCUCAACCUGGGAACUGCAUUCGAAACUGGCAGGCUUGAGUCUUGUAGAGGGGGGUAGAAUUCCAGGUGUAGCGGUGAAAUGCGUAGAGAUCUGGAGGAAUACCGGUGGCGAAGGCGGCCCCCUGGACAAAGACUGACGCUCAGGUGCGAAAGCGUGGGGAGCAAACAGGAUUAGAUACCCUGGUAGUCCACGCCGUAAACGAUGUCUACUUGGAGGUUGUGCCCUUGAGGCGUGGCUUCCGGAGCUAACGCGUUAAGUAGACCGCCUGGGGAGUACGGCCGCAAGGUUAAAACUCAAAUGAAUUGACGGGGGCCCGCACAAGCGGUGGAGCAUGUGGUUUAAUUCGAUGCAACGCGAAGAACCUUACCUGGUCUUGACAUCCACGGAAGUUUUCAGAGAUGAGAAUGUGCCUUCGGGAACCGUGAGACAGGUGCUGCAUGGCUGUCGUCAGCUCGUGUUGUGAAAUGUUGGGUUAAGUCCCGCAACGAGCGCAACCCUUAUCCUUUGUUGCCAGCGGUCCGGCCGGGAACUCAAAGGAGACUGCCAGUGAUAAACUGGAGGAAGGUGGGGAUGACGUCAAGUCAUCAUGGCCCUUACGACCAGGGCUACACACGUGCUACAAUGGCGCAUACAAAGAGAAGCGACCUCGCGAGAGCAAGCGGACCUCAUAAAGUGCGUCGUAGUCCGGAUUGGAGUCUGCAACUCGACUCCAUGAAGUCGGAAUCGCUAGUAAUCGUGGAUCAGAAUGCCACGGUGAAUACGUUCCCGGGCCUUGUACACACCGCCCGUCACACCAUGGGAGUGGGUUGCAAAAGAAGUAGGUAGCUUAACCUUCGGGAGGGCGCUUACCACUUUGUGAUUCAUGACUGGGGUGAAGUCGUAACAAGGUAACCGUAGGGGAACCUGCGGUUGGAUCACCUCCUUA
This 1542-nucleotide ribosomal RNA is filed under the name Salmonella enterica subsp. enterica serovar Heidelberg. Its description in RNAcentral is "bacterial SSU rRNA". It matches the Rfam family "Bacterial small subunit ribosomal RNA". Lineage: Bacteria; Pseudomonadati; Pseudomonadota; Gammaproteobacteria; Enterobacterales; Enterobacteriaceae. The record is from RNAcentral. RNAcentral also lists the same sequence under 13 other names.